This 74-nucleotide transfer RNA is filed under the name Cordylochernes scorpioides. RNAcentral describes it as "tRNA-Thr". Lineage: Eukaryota; Metazoa; Arthropoda; Arachnida; Pseudoscorpiones; Chernetidae. The record is from RNAcentral.
GUCCAUAGAUGGGAAUCGAACCCACAGUGUUCCGCUUACCGGGAAGAUGCCAUGUCCACUAGGCUACCAAUAAA